This 454-nucleotide long non-coding RNA is filed under the name Castor canadensis (American beaver). Its description in RNAcentral is "lncRNA (ENSCCNG00000027128.1)". Lineage: Eukaryota; Metazoa; Chordata; Mammalia; Rodentia; Castoridae. The record is from RNAcentral.
CCGACCGCGGACGGACGCACAGACCUACAAACCCGCAAGCCUGGGAACCGGCUGUGGGAUCCCGCGCGCCGCCCCACCUAAGGGGUUAGCCACCUCGCCAUGAAGCCCCGCACCUGCUGAACUAGGAGCGCCCGAGGAUGUCUGUCCUGAGAAAGGCUUUCCCACCAUCUGAGGCCCGGCCCUAGGACUGUGGUUUCACACCAGCCAGCGAACCCUCAGCCUGCGCCCCGCCAGCCACAAUGGGAACGGCUCAGGUUCUGCCCGGCAUCCUGCAGAAGCACUGCUGCAUCCUACCAGACAGGAACACAGGUACGGCCACCUUCUUUCUGCACUUUGAGAUCACAGGUUGUGAACCAGUGGCAGCUUUGAGAGAAGCGAUGCCGAUGGUAGACGUUUUGUGGGUGUUUUUUAGUUGAUGUUUUUAGUACUUUGUUAUUUAUUAACUGAAAGAAGC